AUGUUCACUUUGGCAGCACAUACACUAAAAUUGGAAUGAUACAAAAAAGAUUAGCAUGGUCCCUCAGGAAGGAUGAUUUGCAAACUUGUGAAAUGUUCCUCGCCACC
RNAcentral lists this small nuclear RNA (107 nucleotides) under Meriones unguiculatus (Mongolian gerbil). The record is from RNAcentral. Lineage: Eukaryota; Metazoa; Chordata; Mammalia; Rodentia; Muridae.